RNAcentral lists this ribosomal RNA (255 nucleotides) under uncultured Actinomycetales bacterium. RNAcentral's name for it is "partial 16S ribosomal RNA". It matches the Rfam family "Bacterial small subunit ribosomal RNA", at positions 76 to 334 of the family's 1533-position model. Lineage: Bacteria; Bacillati; Actinomycetota; Actinomycetes; Actinomycetales. The record is from RNAcentral.
CGCUUUUGUGGGGUGCUCGAGUGGCGAACGGGUGAGUAACACGUGAGUAACCUGCCCUUGACUUUGGGAUAACUUCAGGAAACUGGGUCUAAUACCGGAUAGGAGCCAUUUUUAGUGUGAUGGUUGGAAAGUUUUUCGGUGUAGGAUGAGCUCGCGGCCUAUCAGCUUGUUGGUGGGGUAAUGGCCUACCAAGGCGGCGACGGGUAGCCGGCCUGAAAGGGUGGACGGCCACAUUGGGACUGAGAUACGGCCCAG